This 1704-nucleotide ribosomal RNA is filed under the name Triticum aestivum (bread wheat). RNAcentral describes it as "partial small subunit ribosomal RNA". The record is from RNAcentral. Lineage: Eukaryota; Viridiplantae; Streptophyta; Magnoliopsida; Poales; Poaceae.
AUGAGAAGGUGGAAUGUCUUCUGGGCUGAUGCCAAAUCAUGUAGUUCUUACAAUUACUUUGGUGAUGUGGUUGCUAUUAAUGUCACAAACUUCAGUGAUCAAUAUGAUAUACAGUUUGUGUCAUUUGUGGGCACUAACCACCACGCUCAACCACUGUUACUAGGCCGUGGUUUGCUUGCUGGUAGAUUUCUUGGAGCUUACGUGUGGAUUUUUGAUACAUGGUUAAGAUGCAUGAAUGCCUCAUCACCACCUUCAAUAAUUACCAACUAUUAUCAUGAUGUUGCGAUAGCUGUUAAAAAGGUUUUCCCCAAUUCACGACACCGCUUUUGCCUUUGGCACAUUUUAAAUGAGCUUCCUGAGAAGUUGGCCGGAAUGGGAAAGAACGAUGAAAUGAUUUCUGCUUUCAGCACAUUAGCCUAUGACUCAGUUACUAUGCUUGAUUUUAACAAAGAGUGGCAAGAAAUGACGCAUCAAUUUCAGUUGGAGGGAAAUGGAUGGCUGUCCAAAUUAUACGAGGUCAGGGCACAGUGGGCUCCUGCUUAUGUGAAGGAUUUUUUUUGGGCGGGAAUUUCCAUCAUAGACAGAAGUGACGGUGCAACUGACUAUUUUGAUGGGUGGUUAAUGUCUGGUAUGUUUGUGCAAAUGGUUGUUAAGCAGUAUGAGGCAGUUGUUAGAACUAAGUUAGAAAAGGAAACCCAUGAGGAUUUGCAAUCGUCUUAGAUGAGGCCACAAAUGAUUGGAUUGCCUAUGGAGGAGCAAGCAGGAAAGGUGUACACAAUGGAGAUAUUUCAAACUUUCUUGAAUGAAUUAGGGCAUUCAUUUCACUGCAUGAUACUUGAUCGGAGUGAUUCAGUAGUUACAUACAUAGUAUCAAAGCAUGUAAAUCAAACAAAGGUGGACUACAAAGUUGCUUAUGACAAUGCUAAAGAUGAUAUAUGGUGUUUCUGCCGCUUGUUUCAAUUUAAAGGUAUAUUGUGCAGACAUGCUCUCACUCUACUAAGGCAGGAGCUUGUACCGAUGAUUCCAUCAAAAUACAUCAUUCAUCGCUGGUGUAAGGAUUGUAAACUAACUUGUUCUUCCAUGUCCCGAGACGUCUCAUUAAGUACUCAGGAAUUGGGAGGUUAUGAUGAUCUCUACAAACUAGGCAACCAAUACUUUGCAGAAGUUGUGGAACUGGGUUCUGUGAACUCAGAAUCAAAAGAUUAUGCUUUGUCAGUCACGAGGGAGAUCAGGGAUAAAGUGAUUUCUUAUGAGAAGUCACUAAGAGAUCAAAGAGUCGAUAGUCAAGUUUCAACUGCCAACUUUGCAUAUAAUCCAGUGAAUGAGGAUUUUACUGAUGAUGCAUUACCAUUUCUCUUAGUACAAGGUUGGGAUCUCAUGCAAGGUCAGUCAAAACGUUCGUGCAAGAAGAAACUGACGCCAACAGUUCUUGAUACCCUGAAAAAGAAAACUAAAAGGGCCUUUACCAAGAGGAGGAAUGCCACUGCGAACAACCUAUGCACAAUGGUCACUGCAACUGACAACAUAACAGAAAGCGCAAAUGUUCAGCAAGAUCAAGUAAAUGAGGGAUGGCCAUCAACAUCUAGUGGUGCACCAGAUACCUUCCCAUACGAAGUGGAGACCAUAUCUUUCGAUUUGACACAAUACAACAAUGAGCCAAGCUUCCAUUGGCCUGAAAGCAGCAGCAGAUCUCAGCUUCAGUGA